RNAcentral lists this ribosomal RNA (429 nucleotides) under Bacteroidota bacterium. RNAcentral's name for it is "Bacteroidetes bacterium partial 16S ribosomal RNA". It matches the Rfam family "Bacterial small subunit ribosomal RNA", at positions 355 to 776 of the family's 1533-position model. The record is from RNAcentral. Lineage: Bacteria; Pseudomonadati; Bacteroidota.
UAGGGAAUCUUCGGCAAUGGGGGGAACCCUGACCGAGCAACGCCGCGUGAGUGAAGAAGGUUUUCGGAUCGUAAAGCUCUGUUGUUAAGGAAGAACGAGUGUGAGAAUGGAAAGUUCAUACUGUGACGGUACUUAACCAGAAAGGGACGGCUAACUACGUGCCAGCAGCCGCGGUAAUACGUAGGUCCCGAGCGUUGUCCGGAUUUAUUGGGCGUAAAGCGAGCGCAGGCGGUUAGAAAAGUCUGAAGUGAAAGGCAGUGGCUCAACCAUUGUAGGCUUUGGAAACUGUUUAACUUGAGUGCAGAAGGGGAGAGUGGAAUUCCAUGUGUAGCGGUGAAAUGCGUAGAUAUAUGGAGGAACACCAGUGGCGAAGGCGACUCUCUGGUCUGUAACUGACGCGGAGGCUCGAAAGCGUGGGUAGCAAACAGG